ACAGCAUUAAUUCGGUUUUACACCAACUGCAAAGCAUUGGAUGAUGCACGCAAGAUGUUCGAUGAAAUUACUGACAUUGAUGUUAUUCAAUGUAAUGUUUUAAUGAGUGGGCACCUUCAAUGCGGACUAGCCAAGGAGACAUUGAGUAUUUUCCAGGAUAUGCUGGGGCGUGGAGUUAGUGCGGAUGAGUAUUGUGUGACCACAGCGCUUUCGGCCUGUGCUCAUUUAGGUGCUCUUGAGCAAGGGAAGUGGAUUCAUGAGCAUGUUAUGAAGAGUGAGUGG
This 282-nucleotide long non-coding RNA is filed under the name Nicotiana tabacum (common tobacco). RNAcentral's name for it is "long non-coding RNA (NTAB_LNC011978)". Lineage: Eukaryota; Viridiplantae; Streptophyta; Magnoliopsida; Solanales; Solanaceae. The record is from RNAcentral.